UUCAAUAACAGUAAAGCUACUGUCAAUGUAUUUUGUUGUUGGAUUUGGUGACUGCACGACAGUUUAUAUGACAGUCAAUUACAGUCACCCUUACGUACGAGAUUCUGUGUGUUUUUUGUUGUUGGCUUUGCGAACUGUCGUAACUGUCAGCUGCAGUCAAAAUACUGUAGGUUUAACGUAAAAAGUUUUAUGUGUUUCUUUAUCUUGUUUGGUAUCGUGUAUGUAUUUUUGCAUUCCCAAGUAUAUAGCAAGCGUUUCUUGAAAAAACGAUUUCGGGCACACUUAAAAAGCGGCGUCGGUUUCGAGAAGUUGUGCAGCGAAAAAGUGAAGUGAAAAAGUUAAAAGUAAAAGUUAUGAGUGAUAUUGACGAAGUGGCUACCUUGGAGGAUCUUCUGGAGGAGUGGGAUUUCAGAGACCUAUCGCCCACAUUUCUCGCGAUCAGCGGACAUGUACAUGCAUGCAAAUGUAUUU
Molecule: non-coding RNA, 471 nt
Organism: Drosophila kikkawai
Lineage: Eukaryota; Metazoa; Arthropoda; Insecta; Diptera; Drosophilidae
Source: RefSeq, a predicted model, not a curated record